This 326-nucleotide unclassified non-coding RNA is filed under the name soil metagenome. RNAcentral's name for it is "partial contains 5.8S ribosomal RNA, internal transcribed spacer 2, and large subunit ribosomal RNA". The stretch from base 1 to 120 matches the Rfam family "5.8S ribosomal RNA", at positions 35 to 154 of the family's 154-position model. The record is from RNAcentral.
GAUGAAGAACGCAGCGAAAUGCGAUAAGUAGUGUGAAUUGCAGAAUUUAGUGAAUCAUCGAAUCUUUGAACGCACAUUGCGCCCUAUAGUAUUCUGUAGGGCAUGCCUGUUCGAGCGUUAUUGAGACCUCAAGCUCUGCUUGGAAAUGGGCGCUUGUCUUGCCUUGCAGACUCGCCUUAAAACCAUUGGCAGCUGAUUUACAAUGUUUGGUGCACAGUACAUGAGCCCAAGUGUUGCAAUGAGUGGCCCAAAAGUAUACAAUAGAAGCUUAACCUCGGAUCAGGUGGGGAUACCCGCUGAACUUAAGCAUAUCAAUAAGCGGAGGA